GCAGUCUGCGUGGGGACACACCGGAUUAGAUACCCUGGUAGUCCACGCCCUAAACGAUGGAUACUCGACAUACGCGAUACACUGUGUGUGUCUGACCGAAAGCAUUAAGUAUCCCACCUGGGAAGUACGUCCGCAAGGAUGAAACUCAAAGGAAUUGACGGGCGUUAUCCGGAAUCACUGGGUUUAAAGGGUGCGUAGGCGGCCAUAUAAGUCAGAGGUGAAAGUUUCCCGCUCAACCGGGAAAUUGCCUUUGAAACUGUAUGGCUUGAAUCANAUUGAGGUUGGCGGAAUGUGACAUGUAGCGGUGAAAUGCAUAGAUAUGUCAUANAACAUCGCUUGCGAAGGCAACUGGCUGGAUCUGUAUUGACGCUGAGGCACGAAAGCGUGGGGAGCAAACAGGAUUAGAUACCCUGGUAGUCCACGCCCUAAACGAUGUUUACUCGACAUGGGACUUACGGGUUCUGUGUCCAAGCGAAAGCCUUAAGUAAACCACCUGGGGAGUACGUUCGCAAGAAUGAAACUCAAAGGAAUUGACGGUUGAC
RNAcentral lists this ribosomal RNA (542 nucleotides) under uncultured bacterium. RNAcentral describes it as "bacterial SSU rRNA". The stretch from base 111 to 542 matches the Rfam family "Bacterial small subunit ribosomal RNA", at positions 1 to 921 of the family's 1533-position model. The record is from RNAcentral.